ACGAGUGCGUCCUACGGGAGGCAGCAGUGGGGAAUAUUGGACAAUGGGCGAAAGCCUGAUCCAGCAAUGCCGCGUGAGUGAUGAAGGCCUUAGGGUUGUAAAGCUCUUUUACCCGGGAUGAUAAUGACAGUACCGGGAGAAUAAGCUCCGGCUAACUCCGUGCCAGCAGCCGCGGUAAUACGGAGGGAGCUAGCGUUAUUCGGAAUUACUGGGCGUAAAGCGCACGUAGGCGGCUUUGUAAGUAAGAGGUGAAAGCCCAGAGCUCAACUCUGGAAUUGCCUUUUAGACUGCAUCGCUUGAAUCAUGGAGAGGUCAGUGGAAUUCCGAGUGUAGAGGUGAAAUUCGUAGAUAUUCGGAAGAACACCAGUGGCGAAGGCGGCUGACUGGACAUGUAUUGACGCUGAGGUGCGAAAGCGUGGGGAGCAAACAGGAUUAGAUACCCUCGUAGUCCA
RNAcentral lists this ribosomal RNA (452 nucleotides) under uncultured Alphaproteobacteria bacterium. RNAcentral's name for it is "bacterial SSU rRNA". It matches the Rfam family "Bacterial small subunit ribosomal RNA", at positions 326 to 797 of the family's 1533-position model. Lineage: Bacteria; Pseudomonadati; Pseudomonadota; Alphaproteobacteria. The record is from RNAcentral.